GAUGGAGAACGUAGCGAAAUGCGAUAAGUAAUGUGAAUUGCAGAAUUCAGUGAAUCAUCGAAUCUUUGAACGCACCUUGCGCCCUUUGGCUAUUCUGAAGGGCAUGCCUGUUUGAGUAUCGUGAACACCUCAACUCUCAUGGUCUGCCAUGAUGAGCUUGGACUUUGGGGGUCUUGCUGGCCUACUGUCAGCUCCUCUCAAAUGAAUCAGCUUACCAGUGUUUGGUGGCACCACAGGUGUGAUAACUAUCUACGCUUGUGGUUUUCUGCCAGGUAACCUCUAGUGAUGGAGGUUCGCUGGAGCUCACAAAUGUCUCUCCUCAGCGAGGACAGCUUUUUGAACGUUUGAUCUCAAAUCAGGUAGGACUACCCGCUGAACUUAAGCAUAUCAAUAAGCGGAGGA
RNAcentral lists this unclassified non-coding RNA (402 nucleotides) under soil metagenome. Its description in RNAcentral is "partial contains 5.8S ribosomal RNA, internal transcribed spacer 2, and large subunit ribosomal RNA". The stretch from base 1 to 121 matches the Rfam family "5.8S ribosomal RNA", at positions 35 to 154 of the family's 154-position model. The record is from RNAcentral.